CCGGAGCGCGACGCUCUCCCCAAGGACGAAGCCAUGCAUGCCCGCUCACCCGGGACGCGGCGGACGGCUCAGGACAACGGUUGCACCCCCCGCGGCGGUCCCUGCUAGCCGGACACCGCUGGCAACCCGGCGCCAAGACGUGCGCGCAAGGGCGGGCGCCCGCGGGCGAGCAGCGUGACGCAGCGACGGCCCGCCCGGGCUUCCGGGGCAUCACCCGGUCGGCGCGGUCGCGGCGCGCCGAGGGCCCGACGCCUGGCGGAGA
This 262-nucleotide ribosomal RNA is filed under the name Giardia sp. 5634B_2. RNAcentral describes it as "partial small subunit ribosomal RNA". The record is from RNAcentral. Lineage: Eukaryota; Fornicata; Diplomonadida; Hexamitidae.